GAUGAAGAACGUAGCGAAAUGCGAUUAGUAGUGUGAAUUGCAGAAUUCAGUGAAUCAUCGAAUCUUUGAACGCACAUUGCGCCCCUUGGUAUCCCGAGGGGCAUGCCUGUUCGAGCGUCAUUUCACCACUCAAGCCUGGCUUGGUGUUGGGCGACGUCCCCUUUGGGGACGCGCCUCGAAACGCUCGGCGGCGUGGCACCGGCUUUAAGCGUAGCAGAAUCUUUCGCUUUGGAAGUCGGGGCCCCGUCUGCCGGAAGACCUACUCGCAAGGUUGACCUCGGAUCAGGCAGGGAUACCCGCUGAACUUAAGCAUAUCAAUAAGCGGAGGA
RNAcentral lists this unclassified non-coding RNA (329 nucleotides) under soil metagenome. Its description in RNAcentral is "partial contains 5.8S ribosomal RNA, internal transcribed spacer 2, and large subunit ribosomal RNA". The stretch from base 1 to 120 matches the Rfam family "5.8S ribosomal RNA", at positions 35 to 154 of the family's 154-position model. The record is from RNAcentral.